This 434-nucleotide RNase P RNA is filed under the name Spirochaetota bacterium. RNAcentral's name for it is "Spirochaetes bacterium (hot springs metagenome) RNase P RNA component class A". It matches the Rfam family "Bacterial RNase P class A". Rfam says of the family: Ribonuclease P (RNase P) is a ubiquitous endoribonuclease, found in archaea, bacteria and eukarya as well as chloroplasts and mitochondria. Its best characterised activity is the generation of mature 5'-ends of tRNAs by cleaving the 5'-leader elements of precursor-tRNAs. The record is from RNAcentral. Lineage: Bacteria; Pseudomonadati; Spirochaetota.
AAGGUGGGUCGGAGAAGCGCCCCUCACCAUUUUGUAAGUCUUUGUCGAAAGGUAGGGCGGGCAAAAUGGUGAGGGGAGGAAAGUCCGGGCAUCGAAAAGCAACGGGCCGGAGAAUAUCCGGACCCCACAAAAAGGUGUGGGGAUGGAAAGUGCCACAGAGAAUAGACUUCCCCUCACCAUUUUGUAAGCUGCUUUAGAGAGAGAGCUUACAAAAUGGUGAGGGGUAAAGGUGAAAAGGCGGUGUAAGAGACCACCACGGGUAACAUAAGUUACCCGGUAGGGUAAACCCCCCGGGAUGCAAGGUUAAAUAGGCAUUCUAUUCCACAGCUUUGUGGUUAAGGAAUGUGGGUGAACCGCUAGAUUUUCCAUGUAAAUGGAAAACAAGAUGGAUGCUUCUCGAUUUACAGAACCCGGCUUAUAGACCCACCCUUUUU